RNAcentral lists this ribosomal RNA (395 nucleotides) under uncultured bacterium. RNAcentral describes it as "bacterial SSU rRNA". It matches the Rfam family "Bacterial small subunit ribosomal RNA", at positions 505 to 898 of the family's 1533-position model. The record is from RNAcentral.
GUGUCAGCAGCCGCGGUAAUACGGAGGUUCCAAGCGUUGUUCGGAAUUACUGGGCGUAAAGGGAGCGCAGGCGGGUCGGUAAGUCUAAAGUGGAAUCCCGGGGCUCAACCUCGGACGUGCUUUGGAUACUGCCGAUCUUGAGUUCGCGAGAGGAAAGCGGAAUUCAGGGUGUAGCGGUGAAAUGCUUAGAUAUCCUGAGGAACACCAAUGGCGAAAGCAGCUUUCUGGCGCGUUACUGACGCUGAGGCUCGAAAGCGUGGGGAGCGAACGGGAUUAGAUACCCCGGUAGUCCACGCCGUAAACGUUGUGCACUAGGUGUAGGAGGUAUCGACCCCUUCUGUGCCGCAGCUAACGCAUUAAGUGCACCGCCUGGGGAGUACGGUCGCAAGGCUGAA